UGUGAACUCGAAGAGUAGGGCGGGACACGUGGUAUCCUGUCUGAAUAUGGGGGGACCAUCCUCCAAGGCUAAAUACUCCUGACUGACCGAUAGUGAACCAGUACCGUGAGGGAAAGGCGAAAAGAACCCCGGCGAGGGGAGUGAAAAAGAACCUGAAACCGUGUACGUACAAGCAGUGGGAGCACCUUCGGGUGUGACUGCGUACCUUUUGUAUAAUGGGUCAGCGACUUAUAUUCUGUAGCAAGGUUAACCGUAUAGGGGAGCCGCAGGGAAACCGAGUCUUAACUGGGCGUUAAGUUGCAGGGUAUAGACCCGAAACCCGGUGAUCUAGCCAUGGGCAGGUUGAAGGUUGGGUAACACUAACUGGAGGACCGAACCGACUAAUGUUGAAAAAUUAGCGGAUGACUUGUGGCUGGGGGUGAAAGGCCAAUCAAACCGGGAGAUAGCUGGUUCUCCCCGAAAGCUAUUUAGGUAGCGCCUCGUGAAUUCAUCUUCGGGGGUAGAGCACUGUUUCGGCUAGGGGGUCAUCCCGACUUACCAACCCGAUGCAAACUACGAAUACCGAAGAAUGUUAUCACGGGAGACACACGGCGGGUGCUAACGUCCGUCGUGAAGAGGGAAACAACCCAGACCGCCAGCUAAGGUCCCAAAGUCAUGGUUAAGUGGGAAACGAUGUGGGAAGGCACAGACAGCCAGGAUGUUGGCUUAGAAGCAGCCAUCAUUUAAAGAAAGCGUAAUAGCUCACUGGUCGAGUCGGCCUGCGCGGAAGAUGUAACGGGGCUAAACCAUGCACCGAAGCUGCGGCAGCGACACUAUGUGUUGUUGGGUAGGGGAGCGUUCUGUAAGCCUGCGAAGGUGUGCUGUGAGGCAUGCUGGAGGUAUCAGAAGUGCGAAUGCUGACAUAAGUAACGAUAAAGCGGGUGAAAAGCCCGCUCGCCGGAAGACCAAGGGUUCCUGUCCAACGUUAAUCGGGGCAGGGUGAGUCGACCCCUAAGGCGAGGCCGAAAGGCGUAGUCGAUGGGAAACAGGUUAAUAUUCCUGUACUUGGUGUUACUGCGAAGGGGGGACGGAGAAGGCUAUGUUAGCCGGGCGACGGUUGUCCCGGUUUAAGCAUGUAGGCUGAUUGUCCAGGCAAAUCCGGAUAAUCAAGGCUGAGGUGUGAUGACGAGGCACUACGGUGCUGAAGUAACAAAUGCCCUGCUUCCAGGAAAAGCCUCUAAGCAUCAGGUAACAUCAAAUCGUACCCCAAACCGACACAGGUGGUCAGGUAGAGAAUACCAAGGCGCUUGAGAGAACUCGGGUGAAGGAACUAGGCAAAAUGGUGCCGUAACUUCGGGAGAAGGCACGCUGGUGUGUAGGUGAAGUCCCUGCGGAUGGAGCUGAGACCAGUCGAAGAUACCAGCUGGCUGCAACUGUUUAUUAAAAACACAGCACUGUGCAAACACGAAAGUGGACGUAUACGGUGUGACGCCUGCCCGGUGCCGGAAGGUUAAUUGAUGGGGUUAUCCGUAAGGAGAAGCUCUUGAUCGAAGCCCCGGUAAACGGCGGCCGUAACUAUAACGGUCCUAAGGUAGCGAAAUUCCUUGUCGGGUAAGUUCCGACCUGCACGAAUGGCGUAAUGAUGGCCAGGCUGUCUCCACCCGAGACUCAGUGAAAUUGAACUCGCUGUGAAGAUGCAGUGUACCCGCGGCAAGACGGAAAGACCCCGUGAACCUUUACUAUAGCUUGACACUGAACAUUGAGCCUUGAUGUGUAGGAUAGGUGGGAGGCUUUGAAGCGUGGACGCCAGUCUGCGUGGAGCCAACCUUGAAAUACCACCCUUUAAUGUUUGAUGUUCUAACGUUGGCCCCUUACCGGGGUUGCGGACAGUGUCUGGUGGGUAGUUUGACUGGGGCGGUCUCCUCCCAAAGCGUAACGGAGGAGCACGAAGGUUAGCUAAUCCUGGUCGGACAUCAGGAGGUUAGUGCAAUGGCAUAAGCUAGCUUGACUGCGAGCGUGACGGCGCGAGCAGGUGCGAAAGCAGGUCAUAGUGAUCCGGUGGUUCUGAAUGGAAGGGCCAUCGCUCAACGGAUAAAAGGUACUCCGGGGAUAACAGGCUGAUACCGCCCAAGAGUUCAUAUCGACGGCGGUGUUUGGCACCUCGAUGUCGGCUCAUCACAUCCUGGGGCUGAAGUAGGUCCCAAGGGUAUGGCUGUUCGCCAUUUAAAGUGGUACGCGAGCUGGGUUUAGAACGUCGUGAGACAGUUCGGUCCCUAUCUGCCGUGGGCGCUGGAGAAUUGAGGGGGGCUGCUCCUAGUACGAGAGGACCGGAGUGGACGCAUCACUGGUGUUCGGGUUGUCAUGCCAAUGGCACUGCCCGGUAGCUAAAUGCGGAAGAGAUAAGUGCUGAAAGCAUCUAAGCACGAAACUUGCCCCGAGAUGAGUUCUCCCUGAGACUUUAAGUCUCCUGAAGGAACGUU
This 2459-nucleotide ribosomal RNA is filed under the name Klebsiella pneumoniae. RNAcentral's name for it is "partial 23S ribosomal RNA". It matches the Rfam family "Bacterial large subunit ribosomal RNA", at positions 398 to 2839 of the family's 2925-position model. The record is from RNAcentral. Lineage: Bacteria; Pseudomonadati; Pseudomonadota; Gammaproteobacteria; Enterobacterales; Enterobacteriaceae.